Molecule: transfer RNA, 87 nt
Filed under: Treponema sp.
Lineage: Bacteria; Pseudomonadati; Spirochaetota; Spirochaetia; Treponematales; Treponemataceae
Description: tRNA-Ser
Rfam family: tRNA
About the family: Transfer RNA (tRNA) molecules are approximately 80 nucleotides in length. Their secondary structure includes four short double-helical elements and three loops (D, anti-codon, and T loops).
Source: RNAcentral
GGAGAGAUGCGAGAGCGGUUGAAUCGAACGGUUUCGAAAACCGUCGAACUCGUAAGGGUUCCGAGGGUUCGAAUCCCUCUCUCUCCG